This 75-nucleotide transfer RNA is filed under the name Mycoplasmopsis cynos. RNAcentral's name for it is "tRNA-Ser". It matches the Rfam family "tRNA". From Rfam's summary of the family: Transfer RNA (tRNA) molecules are approximately 80 nucleotides in length. Lineage: Bacteria; Bacillati; Mycoplasmatota; Mycoplasmoidales; Metamycoplasmataceae. The record is from RNAcentral.
GGCGCUAUAGUAAAAUGGUAAAAAGUAGGUCUGCAAAACCUUGAGUGCGGGUUCGAAUCCCGUUAGUGCGCUCCA